AGAGAAUUCGGUUAAAGUAAGCCCCUGGCCUUCAAAGCUAAAAAUGUAGGUGCAAGUCCUACUUCUCUG
RNAcentral lists this transfer RNA (69 nucleotides) under Plerogyra sinuosa. Its description in RNAcentral is "tRNA-Trp". It matches the Rfam family "tRNA". From Rfam's summary of the family: Transfer RNA (tRNA) molecules are approximately 80 nucleotides in length. Their secondary structure includes four short double-helical elements and three loops (D, anti-codon, and T loops). Lineage: Eukaryota; Metazoa; Cnidaria; Anthozoa; Scleractinia; Caryophylliidae. RNAcentral also lists the same sequence under 1 other name. The record is from RNAcentral.